Molecule: ribosomal RNA, 492 nt
Filed under: uncultured bacterium
Lineage: Bacteria
Description: partial 16S ribosomal RNA
Rfam family: Bacterial small subunit ribosomal RNA
Source: RNAcentral
AGUGAACGCUGGCGGUAGGCCUAACACAUGCAAGUCGAACGGCAGCACAGUAAGAGCUUGCUCUUACGGGUGGCGAGUGGCGGACGGGUGAGGAAUACAUCGGAAUCUACUUUUUCGGGGGGGAUAACGUAGGGAAACUUACGCUAAUACCGCAUACGACCUACGGGUGAAAGCAGUGGAUCUUCGGACCUUGCGCGAUUGAAUGAGCCGAUGUCGGAUUAGCUAGUUGGCGGGGUAAAGGCCCACCAAGGCGACGAUCCGUAGCUGGUCUGAGAGGAUGAUCAGCCACACUGGAACUGAGACACGGUCCAGACUCCUACGGGAGGCAGCAGUGGGGAAUAUUGGACAAAGGGCGCAAGCCUGAUCCAGCCAUACCGCGUGGGUGAAGAAGGCCUUCGGGUUGUAAAGCCCUUUUGUUGGGAAAGAAAAGCAGCAGGUUAAUACCCCGCUGUUCUGACGGUACCCAAAGAAUAAGCACCGGCUAACUUCGUG